UACGGAGGGAGCUAGCGUUGUUCGGAUAUACUGGGCGUAAAGCGCACGUAGGCGGCGCCGUCAGUCAGGGGUGAAAUCCCGGAGCUCAACUCCGGAACUGCCCUUGAAACUGCAGUGCUAGAAUCUUGGAGAGGCGAGUGGAAUUCCGAGUGUAGAGGUGAAAUUCGUAGAUAUUCGGAAGAACACCAGUGGCGAAGGCGACUCGCUGGACAAGUAUUGACGCUGAGGUGCGAAAGCGUGGGGAGCAAACAGG
RNAcentral lists this ribosomal RNA (253 nucleotides) under uncultured bacterium. Its description in RNAcentral is "partial 16S ribosomal RNA". It matches the Rfam family "Bacterial small subunit ribosomal RNA", at positions 524 to 776 of the family's 1533-position model. The record is from RNAcentral.